UACGUAGGGGGCAAGCGUUGUCCGGAAUUAUUGGGCGUAAAGAGCGUGUAGGCGGCCAGAUAAGUCCGCUGUGAAAUCUCGAGGCUCAACUUCGAGCUGUCGGUGGAAACUAUCUGGCUAGAGUCCGGAAGAGGAGAAUGGAAUUCCUGGUGUAGCGGUGAAAUGCGCAGAUAUCAGGAGGAACACCCGUGGCGAAAGCGGCUCUCUGGGACGGUACUGACGCUGAGACGCGAAAGCGUGGGGAGCAAACAGG
Molecule: ribosomal RNA, 253 nt
Filed under: uncultured bacterium
Lineage: Bacteria
Description: partial 16S ribosomal RNA
Rfam family: Bacterial small subunit ribosomal RNA
Source: RNAcentral